This is a long non-coding RNA of Daphnia pulicaria, 271 nucleotides long. RefSeq lists it as uncharacterized. The record is from RefSeq and is a predicted model, not a curated record. NCBI's taxonomy places the organism in Eukaryota, Metazoa, Arthropoda, Branchiopoda, Diplostraca, Daphniidae. The transcript has 3 exons.
UAUGAGCGCUGAAUAAUUGUUUUUUUUUUCUGUUGUUUAUGCAGAAUAAACUUCUGGAAACCAGUUGCAGCAUUGGCGAGGACGAUAUUCACGUGAGUUGCUCCAUCUGUGGUGUGGAGGAGUGUGUGGUCUGCGAAAAUGGUUCGUUUUCCAGUUGGCGAUGAAUCGAUGUCCGUUAUGAUGCAAAAGACGCCGUUGUUUUGCCUCCCCUGGGCCAGUUUCACCAUCAGAAUAAUCCCACGGCCUCCUUCAGCCUCGCUCCGACUGGGCC